RNAcentral lists this ribosomal RNA (384 nucleotides) under uncultured bacterium. RNAcentral's name for it is "bacterial SSU rRNA". It matches the Rfam family "Bacterial small subunit ribosomal RNA", at positions 355 to 755 of the family's 1533-position model. The record is from RNAcentral.
UGGGGAAUCUUGGACAAUGGGGGUAACCCUGAUCCAGCCAUGCCGCGUGAGUGAUGAAGGCCUUAGGGUCGUAAAGCUCUUUCGCCUGUGAAGAUAAUGACGGUAGCAGGUAAAGAAACCCCGGCUAACUCCGUGCCAGCAGCCGCGGUAAUACGGAGGGGGUUAGCGUUGUUCGGAAUUACUGGGCGUAAAGCGCACGUAGGCGGACCAGAAAGUUGGGGGUGAAAUCCCGGGGGCUCAACCCCGGAACUGCCUCCAAAACUAUCGGUCUAGAGUUCGAGAGAGGUGAGUGGAAUUCCGAGUGUAGAGGUGAAAUUCGUAGAUAUUCGGAGGAACACCAGUGGCGAAGGCGGCUCACUGGCUCGAUACUGACGCUGAGGUGCG